Non-coding RNA from Camellia sinensis, 711 nucleotides. NCBI's taxonomy places the organism in Eukaryota, Viridiplantae, Streptophyta, Magnoliopsida, Ericales, Theaceae. The record is from RefSeq and is a predicted model, not a curated record.
AAGAAUGAAUUGGGUGCAUCUAAACUAGAGUAGAAAGUUCGGGUGGCCUCUAAUUGAUCACAUCUCUACUUUUGGUAUGGUCUGUUUGGCUCUUUAAAGGCUGCUGUUUUUUCAUGUAUCCGAAGGCUACUUGAUGCUUUUGUGCUAGAAAUGCGUCGACGUGAAGAUGUGAAUAUUUGGGUAGACCUGCUUGAAUAGCUUCAGGUUUGAAGUAUUAUGGAAAUUGGUUUAAGUUUUUCCUUCCCUUCUUUUCUUGAUAUUAAACAAUUAUCCCCGGUUGAGUGAACUGAUAUAUUGUGAUUGGUGGAACUCCUUUUUGAUUUGCAGUUAAUAUUUAUCUGUUUGUGAUUCUUCUAUUUGUUAUUUUGCGUAUAUGUUUUUGCUUAAAUGACGUAAUCAGUUUUUUGAUAAGUAUAGUUCUCGGGCUAUAUCUAUUCUAUGGGUUUGUCCUUGAGCUACCUGCAACAGUUAGUCGUGUGUGAAGAUAUUGCUCAGAAGCAACUCAUGGAGGAUGACUUCUGCAUGAACAGUCAGGCGUCCAACAGGUAUUGAUAUCUCUAGUCAACUCGGUUGUCGAGGAUCAGAGCUUGUAGUAAAUGAUUGUGGACCUGAAGUUUUUGGAUGGGUUUUUAAUCCAUGACGGUGUCAGAUGAUCUUAUUAUUAUUAUGUUUUAAUUUUUAAGGUUAAUUAUUUUUCUCUCUUUAUCUUUA